Molecule: ribosomal RNA, 463 nt
Filed under: uncultured bacterium
Lineage: Bacteria
Description: partial 16S ribosomal RNA
Rfam family: Bacterial small subunit ribosomal RNA
Source: RNAcentral
GAUGAACGCUGACAGAAUGCUUAACACAUGCAAGUCGAUGGGGAAGUGGUGCUUGCAUCAUGGUAACCAUGGCGGACGGGUGAGUAACGCGUAAGGAACUUGCCUGCGGGACUGGGAUAACAGCAGGAAACUGCUGAUAAUACCGGAUAAGGUCAUUAAGCUGCAUAGCUUAGUGAUGAAAGGAGACGCCUGCGGAGAGCCUUGCGUCCUAUUAGCUAGUUGGAGGGGUAACGGCCCACCAAGGCGAAGAUAGGUAGCCGGCCUGAGAGGGUGGACGGCCACAAGGGGACUGAGAUACGGCCCUUACUCCUACGGGAGGCAGCAGUGGGGAAUAUUGGACAAUGGGGGCAACCCUGAUCCAGCAAUUCUGUGUGCACGAAGACGGUUUUCGGAUUGUAAAGUGCUUUCAGCAGGGAAGAAGGAAGUGACGGUACCUGCAGAAGAAGCGACGGCUAAAUACGUG